GUGGGAGUUGAGUAUAUUUGACAAAACUUUUUAAAAGGCAUGGACGGGUAUGGUUUGGCCUUAAGACGGAGGAAAGCUUAUGAAGCUUGUCCAAUAAAGGAUGGGAAGAGAGUUGUAAUACUUUACAGAUAAAGCGAUCACUGAGAUAUUGAGCCCGUAGAAGUCUAGGAGGGUCAACACAUUCAACUUGCAAUACAUUGGUGGGAGAAGAUUUCAUGGCCCCAAGAAUGAGCCUUAGGCAUUUAUAUUGAAUUUUAUUUAAUUUUUCUGAAGCCGACUUAUUUAUAGGGUCUAAAAUAAAUAAUCCAUAGUCCAUAUGACUACGGAUUAUGGCGUUAUAUAAUAACUUUUGGGUGUAAGGGUGGGCACCCCACCAUACCCCUGACAAGGCUCGCAGGAUAUUAAUAUUGCUUUCACAUUUACGGGUAACAUAGUCGGAGUGAGCUACACCGUUCAGCCUGGAGUCUAGAACCACGCCAAGAAAUUUGGUUUUGCAUGCGAGAGAAAUGUGUUGAUCCUCAAACAUAACAUUGGGUAUUGGAAUUUGUCUUCUUCUUGUGAAGAUGACUGCCUUGCACUUAUCGAUUGACAGUGUAAGCCCAUGAUCUGACAACCACUGGCCUAGAUAAUACAAAGCAGAGUUCAAACAGGUAGAAAUUUCGUCCAUGGAGUUGGAGCUGGCGUACAGAGCUAUGUCAUCUGCAUAUUGCAGGAUGUUACAAAAACUUUCAACAGACAUUUCAAGAUCAUAGGUGUAAAUAUUGUAGAGCAGUGGGCUCAGAACAGAACCUUGAGGGAGACCUUUCCAGACCAUUCUGGGGGGAAGAUUUAGGGAUUUAGUUCUCACCAGAAUGGUUCUAGAUGAGAGAAGAUUGCAUAUUAUUUGAGUUAAUCUCGGUGGGAUGCUCAGCUGUUGCCAUUUCUGCCUGAGUACCGGGAGAAGAACGUUAUCAUAUGCUGCUGCAAUAUCUAGGAAUACACCCACAAGGUACUCUCCUUUAGCUAGGGCUAUUCGAAUGUCUGUUGAAAGAACUCCAAGGCUGUCCAUUGUACCAAGGCCCUUUCUAAAGCCAAAUUGAGACUUGGCAAUUAAGCCUCUGCUUUCUAUUAUCCAUUCCAAGCGGUUUUUAAUCAAGUGCUCCAUAAUUUUGGCCAAAUUGGGUCACUAGAGGAGACAGAUUGCCGGUAUCUUUUCAUUCUAUCCCAUACCAAGGUAGAUGGGGAUCGGGGAUCCAGAGACUCGCAGAAAGUAAUCCAACCUCGCUUUUUCUUUUUUGAUACCAAUCUCUUGACUUUGGCAUCGGUGCGCUGGUAUUCCAAAAAGUUUUCACGGGACAUUAACAUCGUGUAGGAAGUUUCUGCAUCUUUACGUUUUUUUAUUAGGUUGGUGCAUUCCUCAUCCCACCAGGGAGGAGAUGCCAUAAAAUCACGUUUAGUAGUUUUGAGUGGUAUAUGGAGGUCGGCUGAAUAUUUCAAAAUUUUGACAAAGUUAUCGUAGUAAAGGACUGUACUGUCUUCAUCUGAUAAGUUAUCAAUAAGAAGGUCAACUGAUUCCGCAAAAGCAGACCAGUUGGCCUUGUUAAGUUUGUGUUUAAGAAGGGGAUUAGGAUUAUACUGUGGAAUGGAUUUUUGUGCUAUGUUGAGUAAAAUAGGGAAGUGGUCACUACCGUGGGUACUUGGGAGGGUUUUCCAGGAGGUAAGAGAAGCCAAAGAGGGAGAGCAAAGAGAUAGAUCGACAGCAGUUUUAGGAUUUUGAUAAGGAUACACUCUUCUUGUUGGAGAGCCAUCGUUAAGAAUGCAAAUAUUUAAUUCAUCAAAAACAUCCAGCAAGAGAGUGGAAAAUCCGUCACAGGAAUGGGAACCCCAGGACGUGUGAUGGGAGUUAAAAUCACCCAUCAC
Maniola jurtina (meadow brown) is the source of this 1899-nucleotide long non-coding RNA. RefSeq lists it as uncharacterized. The record is from RefSeq and is a predicted model, not a curated record. Lineage: Eukaryota; Metazoa; Arthropoda; Insecta; Lepidoptera; Nymphalidae. The transcript has 2 exons.